RNAcentral lists this ribosomal RNA (496 nucleotides) under uncultured bacterium. RNAcentral describes it as "partial 16S ribosomal RNA". It matches the Rfam family "Bacterial small subunit ribosomal RNA", at positions 29 to 507 of the family's 1533-position model. The record is from RNAcentral.
AUGAACGCUGGCGGCGUGCCUAAUACAUGCAAGUCGAGCGAACGGACGAGAAGCUUGCUUCUCUGAUGUUAGCGGCGGACGGGUGAGUAACACGUGUAUAACCUACCUAUAAGACUGGGAUAACUUCGGGAAACCGGAGCUAAUACCGGAUGAUAUUUUGAACCGCAUGGUUCAAAAGUGAAAGACGGUCUUGCUGUCACUUAUAGAUGGAUCCGCGCUGCAUUAGCUAGUUGGUAAGGUAACGGCUUACCAAGGCAACGAUGCAUAGCCGACCUGAGAGGGUGAUCGGCCACACUGGAACUGAGACACGGUCCAGACUCCUACGGGAGGCAGCAGUAGGGAAUCUUCCGCAAUGGGCGAAAGCCUGACGGAGCAACGCCGCGUGAGUGAUGAAGGUCUUCGGAUCGUAAAACUCUGUUAUUAGGGAAGAACAUAUGUGUAAGUAACUGUGCACAUCUUGACGGUACCUAAUCAGAAAGCCACGGCUAACUACGUG